This 254-nucleotide ribosomal RNA is filed under the name uncultured bacterium. RNAcentral's name for it is "partial 16S ribosomal RNA". It matches the Rfam family "Bacterial small subunit ribosomal RNA", at positions 524 to 776 of the family's 1533-position model. The record is from RNAcentral.
UACGAAGGGGGCUAGCGUUGCUCGGAAUGACUGGGCGUAAAGGGCGCGUAGGCGGUUUGUACAGUCAGGUGUGAAAUUCCCGGGCUCAACCUGGGGGCUGCACUUGAUACGUAUGGACUUUGAGUGAGGAAGAGGGUCGUGGAAUUCCCAGUGUAGAGGUGAAAUUCGUAGAUAUUGGGAGGAACACCAGUGGCGAAGGCGGCUCGCUGGACCGGUUCUGACGCUGAGGCGCGAAAGCGUGGGGAGCAAACGGG